CUCACCCCCUCGGCACGCAACCCGAUGGACUGCAUCUCUCCGUUUGCCGGAUGCAGCGCGUAGGCAUCGUCGUCGAUUCUCGUCCCCAGACUUUCGACUGAUACAUCUCGAGUGACACGUUCGGCGUCCCUCACAUGGGAUGGGAUUGAAUUACAGAGUUGCAAAUUUAGUUCCCCAUUCACGUUCUCCAGUUUGUCGCGUGAGAAUUAAUAGCGUUUACUAUAUUAUGAACAAUCGAAUGAGAGUGCGUUUUUAUGAUCGAACAGAUACUUCGUAUCGAUGCAAUCUUGAUUCUUUACGUAAUCCUUUAUAUAAUAAUUUCGAAGUAUUCUUUAAAGUUCAGCAAUAUCCCGCGAGACAUUCUGUGCUUAUCGGCAAAUGAGUUUUUCCCCAAGAUCCAUUUUGCAAAUUCUAGCGCAGAAUAAAAGAAAAUUAAAAAAAAGUCUCCCAUAAAUUUAGAUGACUUCGAGCACUUCUUGUACUUCUUAUCUCCCAAUCAUCAAGCGAUUUCGUAAUUCUGUUGCAGAGCAAUGAAACGACAGGCCCCGGGCGGGCAAGUUAUUUGGGAAUCCGCGGGGAUCCCCAAAUAGCACGAUGAGCGGCCUCCAUCGAAUCUUCCUGUAUAUCGUCCGACACAGUUCUGGUGCGACUACCUUUUUUUUAAUUUUUUCCUGCGACGCUAUCUUUUGAUGAGUUAAGAAGAUUUGACAUUUCAUGAUAAACAACAAAUUUCAAAGUACUAGCAGUCAUUAGUUCUGCUAUUAAAUGUGUCAGUACCUUAAUGACCACUCAUCAAAAGAACACUUUGUACUUCGUACCGCAUACGGAAGAUCAAACAGACAAGAAAAUGGAGGAUUGCAAAAACAUACCGAUAUUGAUCCGGAUUUUAUGAAAAACAUUGUAACUAAUAAUGAAACAUGGUGUUUUAGAUAUAAAAUUCACAAAGCGACAGAAGAAAUUGCGCAUGCAGAAGAGCCGGAUCUAGACAUUGCUCACUGUUUUCUUCGAUUAGGAAAGAAUCGUCUACAAGGAAUUUAUAUGGAAAGAUCAAACAGUGAAUACCGAUUAUUAUUUAAAUUCUAAAUCGUUUGUGGAACAGGAUUCUUCAAGUUCAGCCUGAGAGGAAAGAUCUUGGUCGUUUCUGCACGAUAAUGCACGAUACACAAAUCCAAAAUCUACGCGAUUUCAUAACCAGAAAAGACAUCGUGCCUUUUGUAUUCACCUGAUUUGGCUCCAUGUGACUUCCAGUUAUUCUUAAAAUUCAAAUUGGCAAUGAAAGGAAAGUGUUACGAGACCAUUUGCGACAUCUAAAAAGUCUCAAUCGCGGUUUUCGAAAACGGAGUACAUUGACGGUUUCGAAAAAUUUUUUAAUCACUUCCGACGUUAUAUUGACUUAGAAGAAGAAUGUAUUUUGAAUAAAAAAUAGAAAUAAAAAAUAA
Molecule: long non-coding RNA, 1439 nt
Organism: Ooceraea biroi (clonal raider ant)
Lineage: Eukaryota; Metazoa; Arthropoda; Insecta; Hymenoptera; Formicidae
Source: RefSeq, a predicted model, not a curated record